GCCUCGGUAGUCUAAAGGCUUAGGACACUCGCACGAAAUGUAAGAGAUCUGGGUUCGACUCCCGACCGAGGUA
Trachymyrmex cornetzi is the source of this 73-nucleotide non-coding RNA. NCBI's taxonomy places the organism in Eukaryota, Metazoa, Arthropoda, Insecta, Hymenoptera, Formicidae. The record is from Rfam.